This 1344-nucleotide ribosomal RNA is filed under the name uncultured bacterium. RNAcentral describes it as "16S ribosomal RNA". It matches the Rfam family "Bacterial small subunit ribosomal RNA", at positions 28 to 1378 of the family's 1533-position model. The record is from RNAcentral.
GACGAACGCUGGCGGCGUGCUUAACACAUGCAAGUCGAACGGAAAGGCCCUGCUUUUGUGGGGUGCUCGAGUGGCGAACGGGUGAGUAACACGUGAGUAACCUGCCCUUGACUUUGGGAUAACUUCAGGAAACUGGGGCUAAUACCGGAUAGGAGCUCCUGCUGCAUGGUGGGGGUUGGAAAGUUUCGGCGGUUGGGGAUGGACUCGCGGCUUAUCAGCUUGUUGGUGGGGUAGUGGCUUACCAAGGCUUUGACGGGUAGCCGGCCUGAGAGGGUGACCGGCCACAUUGGGACUGAGAUACGGCCCAGACUCCUACGGGAGGCAGCAGUGGGGAAUAUUGCACAAUGGGCGGAAGCCUGAUGCAGCAACGCCGCGUGCGGGAUGACGGCCUUCGGGUUGUAAACCGCUUUCGCCUGUGACGAAGCGUGAGUGACGGUAAUGGGUAAAGAAGCACCGGCUAACUACGUGCCAGCAGCCGCGGUGAUACGUAGGGUGCGAGCGUUGUCCGGAUUUAUUGGGCGUAAAGGGCUCGUAGGUGGUUGAUCGCGUCGGAAGUGUAAAUCUUGGGGCUUAACCCUGAGCGUGCUUUCGAUACGGGUUGACUUGAGGAAGGUAGGGGAGAAUGGAAUUCCUGGUGGAGCGGUGGAAUGCGCAGAUAUCAGGAGGAACACCAGUGGCGAAGGCGGUUCUCUGGGCCUUUCCUGACGCUGAGGAGCGAAAGCGUGGGGAGCGAACAGGCUUAGAUACCCUGGUAGUCCACGCUGUAAACGGUGGGUACUAGGUGUGGGGUCCAUUCCACGGGUUCCGUGCCGUAGCUAACGCUUUAAGUACCCCGCCUGGGGAGUACGGCCGCAAGGCUAAAACUCAAAGGAAUUGACGGGGCCCCGCACAAGCGGCGGAGCAUGCGGAUUAAUUCGAUGCAACGCGUAGAACCUUACCUGGGUUUGACAUGGAUCGGGAGCGCUCAGAGAUGGGUGUGCCUCUUUUGGGGUCGGUUCACAGGUGGUGCAUGGCUGUCGUCAGCUCGUGUCGUGAGAUGUUGGGUUAAGUCCCGCAACGAGCGCAACCCUUGUUCACUGUUGCCAGCACGUUAUGGUGGGGACUCAGUGGAGACCGCCGGGGUCAACUCGGAGGAAGGUGGGGAUGACGUCAAGUCAUCAUGCCCCUUAUGUCCAGGGCUUCACGCAUGCUACAAUGGCUGGUACAGAGAGUGGCGAGCCUGUGAGGGUGAGCGAAUCUCGGAAAGCCGGUCUCAGUUCGGAUUGGGGUCUGCAACUCGACCUCAUGAAGUCGGAGUCGCUAGUAAUCGCAGAUCAGCAACGCUGCGGUGAAUACGUUCCCGGG